This 643-nucleotide ribosomal RNA is filed under the name Photobacterium rosenbergii. RNAcentral describes it as "bacterial SSU rRNA". It matches the Rfam family "Bacterial small subunit ribosomal RNA", at positions 72 to 703 of the family's 1533-position model. Lineage: Bacteria; Pseudomonadati; Pseudomonadota; Gammaproteobacteria; Vibrionales; Vibrionaceae. The record is from RNAcentral.
ACAAUCCUUCGGGUGCGCUUAUGGGCGGCGAGCGGCGGACGGGUGAGUAAUGCCUGGGAAUAUGCCCUGAUGUGGGGGAUAACCAUUGGAAACGAUGGCUAAUACCGCAUAAUCUCUUCGGAGCAAAGAGGGGGACCUUCGGGCCUCUCGCGUCAGGAUUAGCCCAGGUGAGAUUAGCUAGUUGGUGGGGUAAGAGCUCACCAAGGCGACGAUCUCUAGCUGGUCUGAGAGGAUGAUCAGCCACACUGGAACUGAGACACGGUCCAGACUCCUACGGGAGGCAGCAGUGGGGAAUAUUGCACAAUGGGGGAAACCCUGAUGCAGCCAUGCCGCGUGUGUGAAGAAGGCCUUCGGGUUGUAAAGCACUUUCAGUUGUGAGGAAGGCAUAUACGUUAAUAGCGUAUGUGUUUGACGUUAGCAACAGAAGAAGCACCGGCUAACUCCGUGCCAGCAGCCGCGGUAAUACGGAGGGUGCGAGCGUUAAUCGGAAUUACUGGGCGUAAAGCGCAUGCAGGCGGCUUGUUAAGCCAGAUGUGAAAGCCCGGGGCUCAACCUCGGAAUAGCAUUUGGAACUGGCAGGCUAGAGUCUUGUAGAGGGGGGUAGAAUUUCAGGUGUAGCGGUGAAAUGCGUAGAGAUCUGAAG